Molecule: long non-coding RNA, 7290 nt
Filed under: Sinocyclocheilus grahami
Lineage: Eukaryota; Metazoa; Chordata; Actinopteri; Cypriniformes; Cyprinidae
Description: lncRNA (ENSSGRG00000041460.1)
Source: RNAcentral
AUGGAACGCUGGGUUUUAGAGGGCGAUAGCUACUCGUUUCUUCGCAGUGCUCCACACACGUUCAACCUGCAGAGUCAUGAAGGGCCAAAUCGUGUGGAGAUCUUUGACAUCACUUCAAUCCCCAGCCAUCAUAAUGCCAUAUCUGAAACAACCAGCCUGUGUGACAUUUUUGGGGGUGACGGCGAGUCUCCGUCACUUUCCAGUAGCCCAGCUUCUGCCACAUUUAUCAGGAGGGAAGUGGAUCAGUCUUUUCCAGUAGAUGAUGCCAAUGACUCUUUAGGAUCUUACCAUACUGCCAAUGGAUCUGACUUAAGCAACAACUCUGAAGUCACUUACAACACACCUUCUCCAGAAAAUACACCAGAUUUUUCCACAUCUGAGACCAGGGGAUCACGUUCACCACCAACUAAAUCACCCAUCUUGUCUGAUUCCAAAAAUGGACUUAACCAACUAGACUGCACACCACCUGCAUCCAAAGUCAAUAGUAAUGACCUUUCACAUACAGAUAACUGGGAAGAAUCCCAAGUGUCAGUAAUCACUGCCCCAGUGAAUGAAAUGGCCAUCACAAAUGCAUCUGAACCACAGUAUGUGAAUUCAACACCAGCUACCACCCUAAUUGAUCCGGCAAAGAAACCUUUUAAUCCUACAUCCUGCUCUUCAGAAGAAAAAGAACCUGCUGUUUUUGAGCAAGAAGGAAUUAUUAAAACACCUCAACAUAUAAGCACAAGCCCAGUUUUAGAUAAACAAAUAUUUGAGUCAAACUGUGAAUCUUUGGCAGUAUCUCCACUUGAGCAAAAUGUUGUGAUGUCUUCUGAGGACAAAGAGAGCAUGAUCUAUUGUAGUCCACGAGAGCAAAACAUUCUUUCUGUGCAAGGGACGAUGAACAGUGGCUCUGCAUCAGAACUGUCAAACCCUUCUACAACAGAUUGCAGCCUUAUGCAGGAAAUGUCUACUUCACCUUCAAACCGAGAUAUUAACUUUCUACCCAUAUCCAGUGUCAUGCCAGAACCCAGAUUGACCUCCACCUCCCCUGUAAUCAGGGAAACUACCUCCACACGUAGAUCUUCACCUGAGCUGCUGAAUUUGUGUCCAACUCAAGUUAGGAACACAUCGGAGACUCCAGACUUGGAGGACACUUAUGGUGCUAUUUUAUCUGUAUCUACACUGCAUACCAGUGAUAAUGUGGAAAUAAAUUCCCUAACUGUGUCUGACAUUUCUACUGAAACAAGAGGACUGGUAUAUUCAUCCACAGAUGGAAGAGAAAAGCUGGAAUCACCUGAAUUCAAUGAAACCUGCUCUUCUCCUGAUCACUCGGCACCUACUCACUCACAAGAACCAGUACUGAUUCACUCCCCUGUAGGUUACACCAUCAGUCCAUCACCUACAUAUGAGAAAAUAUGUUCUUCAGUUGAACCUGUAGACUCACCAUCCUCCCCUGUAUCACCUGAGAUCAAUGAAACCUGCUCUUCUCCUCAUCACUCAGCAUCUGCUCACUCACCAGAACAAGUAAUGAUUCACUCCCCUGUGGGUUACACCAUCAGCCCAUCACCUACAAAUGAGAGAAUAGUUUCUUCGACUGAACCUGAAGACUCACCAUCCUUCCCUGUAGUCACAAGGAUUGAAUACAGGGAUAUUUGCUCUUCUCCCGAUCACUCAGAACCAGUAAUCAUUCACUCGUCUCCAUGUUACAACAUCAGUCCAUCACCUACAAAUGAGAGACGGGUUUAUUCAACUGAACCUGAUGCCUCAACAUCUUCCCCCUGUGGUCACAGUGAUAUGCACUCCUCUUCUGAUCACUCCAUUCCAGCUCACUCACCAGAACCUGAAAUAAUUCACUCACCGAUGGGUUAUACCAUCAGCCCAUCACCUACAAAUAAGAGAAUGUUUUUUUCAGUGCAACCUAAUGACCUACCAUCCUCUCCUGCCAUCACAGGAACUGAUUACACAGCAACACCAACAUGCAGUAGAGAUUCCACACCUGCGUUUAGGAGCAUUACCUCCACUCCAAACAGCAGAGAAAAUGACCUUACACCAGAGCCCAAUUCCCCAGCCACUUCACUGGAAUUGAGAUCAGUUACCUGCUCACCUGAAAUCAAAACAAUAUCAUAUAGUGUUCUGCCACAAAAUACAAAAUCCCCAGGCAUCACAUAUAAUGUUAUACCAACCGAAGAUUUAGCGCAAUCACCUGCAGUAGAAAAAAAUGUCUGUGGCAACUCUUCUGAAACUUCCAGCUAUCUUUUUGGAAAUGACACCUCUGUCUUACCUAGCUCAAGGAACUUUUUGUCAACACCAGAGAGUAGAUCGAGGCCCUCAUCAGCUACAUCAGACCAUACCAAAUACACAACACUAUCCUCUGAUCUCGAACCUGAGCCUUCCAUCACUAUUGGAAAUGCAGAAAAUCAGAGUUUAUACAUAAUCUGUGAUGAAGUUAGUCAUCCUUUCUCUAACCCAAUAGACCGUUUUGAUGACCAUGCUGACACAAAGACCCUCAAAAGCCUUGCAUUUGUCCCAGAUGAAUGUAAAGGCAGUGGACCACCAGUUCAGAUACUACAAGAUUCAACCUCUAACACCUCAGAUUCUGGAUCGUCCACAAUAAAAAUUGAGAAAAGUCAAGAAAUUGUCACUGACAACACAACUGAUUUAACAUUCUGUGGAACACCAACCUCCCCGUGUCCAUGGGAUGCAUCUCUACCGAAGCCAGUGGCAUCUGUAGAGAAGAAACAAUGCCUUGUUGAGGUUUUUGAUAGGAACAAGGGAACAGAAAUGUUGAAAAAUUAUUCCCCAAGUAGUGACAAGAGGCUUAGUCAAGUGCCUGUAGCAUUAAGAGAAAGCGCAGGGGUUAUCAGUAGGGACAAUGGUGGUGAAUUUGACAGGCAGCCAUGCAGGGAAAAAGAGGAAAGUGGAAAGAAGGAGGGAGAGGGGGAGGAGACUAUGGGAGAGAGUAGUUACAGAGGGGAACAGGUUGAGCUGUCAUUCAGUGCCAGGAAUAGAAAAGGGCCUGCAGGCCACAGCCCAGCUCUCUCAAGUCGAGACCCAAAGUCGGGAAUUCCAGCUCGCUGUUAUUUUGAGUCGCACCCAACAACUUUGCAGCAACAGAGUCAGCUCAGAGCUCAGGGCUCACAACAAGAGAACAAGGGUGGUGCCAGGAGGCUCCAGUCAGCGGCCCAGGGUAAAUACAGCAGUGCAGGCUUUCUUCUUCCUGAAUGUACUGGUGAGACCUCCAGCAUGGGAAGUGAAUUUGAUGAAGCAGACAAUGAAGUAAAGUGGUUUACAGAUCUGGCCUUCAGAAGCCUAUCUAGUCCUCAGGUGGAUUAUUUGGAUGUGUACAAUUCAAGCCACAGGUCCUCUACAAAUGUUUCACAGCCAUCGACUGUAGACAGCCCUGGUGCUAUUGCAUGGAUGACCUACGCAGAUUUACGUGGCUCAGCGUUACAUGAAAAUGAUGGUUCGUCUUUUUUACCCCGUGACAGCCUGGACCCAAACAAACGCUUUGAAAUGGGAAGUUUUGAGUGUGUGGAUAUUGCAUUAGAGAGCAAGGAAGAGUCCAGUAGAGGAAAGAGGACAGUACCUAAAAGGCAGAUCCAGCUGUUAAGGAGGAACACAGAUGAAUCAAAACAUAAAGGAAACAAUGAAAAUAUUUUCAAUUCACCCUCUACAUAUAGACGCUCAAAAGACGCACUUGUUCGUCAACAUAGCACACCAGCUUUUGUGCAACAGGAAGUUUUCAAGGAGGUGCCAGAUUCACCACAAAAUGGCAGGAAAAAGACCUUGCAGAAGUCUGUGUCUUUAGAUGAUGGCUCCCCUAAGACACAAAUGGCAUCUUGCAUUAUCAAGAGUGUAUUGUCAAAGAAAAUGCAGGAUGUUCAGAAAGAGACACCAAAAAGUACAGACCCAAGUCCUUCUGGAGAUAAAAAACAUCCUGAUGUCAGCUCCAGCUCUUUUGAUGGUGUACCAAGUACCAUGGAGAAACAUAGUUUAAGCUCUAGCCAGCAUUCUGAAUGUACUCUUUCAUCUGAAGAUUUUGCUGUCGGAGAGGAGAGAAUUUCACAUUGUCAGCCGAAGAAGUGUGCUCCAAAAGUUCCUCCAAAGCCAUUCUUAAGACCUGCGUUCUUUAACAACGGGGAAGCUCAGGUUGCUGGCAAAAUUGCAAGGGAAGAAACCAAGCCUAUAGUGGCCCCUCCACAAGUUGAUGACAAAAUACAAAACAGCAAGAGUGAUAGGAAAGAGGGAGGAGGUAGCAACCUUGAAGAGAAGUACAAAAGUGACUCCGCAAAUGCCAGUAUCAGUAACACAAGUCCUGUUGUUGUUACACCAGCAAUAAGCAUGCAGAACAGAAUGACAACCAGAGACAUAAGAAAGCGCCAGAUGACACCGGAAAACCAGGAACAACUGGCUGGAAAGAGUGUAUUUAUGUCAAAAACCCCAGAGAUAACUUUGAAACCUUCUAUCAAAGGAAAAAAGACGACAUCUCUGAAAGUGUCUUUGUCCCCUGACUUGGAACAGUCCAGAGAAAUAUCUGAAUCUCAGUCAAUGGAGAAAGCUGCAGAAGAUUUAAGCACGAAAUCUACUAAAGGUUUAGAGACAGAAGACGAUGAUGACAGCAACAAAAAAUCUGUUACACAUAGAGUUAGGGAUGUGAGGAAGUUAGUGAAAAACACAUACAACCUGUCUUUCAAAGCAUCAAAUUCAACAUCAUCUGCAGAAGAGACAGUGAUUCAAGGGAAAAGAGAGAAGCCGCCGCAAACUCCUCCAGCCUUGCACAUUGAAUGUAAAGCCAUCAGUUGGAAGGACAAACAAACAUCAGGCAGCAAAGCAAUCCACUGUCAUGAUGAAAAACUGCCUGUUGACAUAUCAAAAAUAUCACAACCAUGGGUGUGCGCAGAGACAAAAAGAGAUGCUGACAUCACUGAAAUAAUAUCCAAAGGCUCUUCGCCAAAGACUGAGUCAAAACAAAAAGCACCAUAUUCUCACUCUACAAUCACAGAUGGAUUAUGUGAAUCAGAAAGUAUCAAUAAAAUAUCCUACAUUCACUGUGAUCAGAGUUCUAAGAUGCCCCCUAGACCCCCAAGUAAGGAGCGAGAAGUUUCUGCGUUGGUGGUUGUACCGGAUUGCACAUCCAAGACAAAGACUGUUUCCCCUACAAUCCUUGACUCUACUCAAAUGACAGCUGCAAGCAGCAGCCACUCUGUAUCCAUGCUACUGAAAGAAAAAGGGAUGCAGGCUGACAUUGGAGUGUGUGAUGUUCUCACUGAAGGUGCAAGUGCUACAGCUAAACAUGUCAACAGGCUUGAGGUACCUGUACAGGCGUGUUUAUCAGAAAGCAUUUCAAGUGAAGUACAAGUAAAGGCAGAAAAUACAUCAUUGCCUUGCAAUCCAACAGCUUUUGUCAACAAUUUGUCAAGAACAUCUCAACCAAGUGAGAGUCCCAAGGGAACACUGACAGAAGAACCUUCAACAAAGGAACAAGAAAAAAAGAAAACUGCCACCACAACUAUGACACAAAUUCCAACUUAUUUAGCAACAUCUGGCAAGCCAGAGGUGAGGUCUUUUUCAGGCAGUACAAAAAAUAAUGCCACACCAGUGAAUGCAUCAAAAGAGAUUGAGUUACCCAUACAAGUGAGAUCAAUAUCCACUGAUAGACUAAAGCCAUUUGUACCACCAAAACCUAGCUAUAAACAGUCAUUUGCAGAAAUUAAGUCAGUGUCAAGUGACCCAUCAAAAGCAGAUACUCAAGCAUUGUCUGUUAUUAAACACCCAACAAUAUUAAGUAGUGAAUCAAAGAAAAAUGAAACCCCAUCAACAGUGACACACAAGGAUCAACCAAAUGAGACUUCAUCAAGAGAUACAAAAAGACUGGCUGUAUCAGCUGUAUCAAGCUCCAAACCACCAUCCAUCCCAGUCACAACAACUCCAAGUGUUGUGCAAAAAUCCACCACAAAGACACUGGCCAGUCUGGAUCAACAGCAAUCUUCUGCUUUCUUGCAAUCAACCAGCACUUGCCAGCAGCAGAUCCCAUCAUUCAGUCAAGACCAGUCAAUGCUAGAUAGUUCCUUUGCUUCUAACUCAUCAGGACCACAAGCCCUUAACCACACACCAUCUGUGACAAGAGCAUCAUCUAAUAAUCGUUUUCACACAGAUGACUAUCUUUUCUACGCUUUAGAUGAUCCUCCUAGCUAUGAUGAGCGGGAGAGUUUCAGCCCACUACGGCUCUCAGACUUACCCCCACAUAGGUCAUGCAGGUAUCAUCCAACAACUAAGCAAUCUUCUUGCUCCUGCACGCCAAGUUCUCAUUCGCAUCAAGGACAUCCCAACAACAGUCCACAGCAAUGGGUACCAGCAGCCUCUCGGUCUCCAGGCCAAGUCCUUACCUGUCCUGCUGCUCCUCCGCAAGCUCAAGUACGUCCUCAUCAGUGCAGACCAGAUGGUCUACCAGUCUCCAAUACUACAAUACCUCAUGCCUCAGCUUUGAUUCAGCCUCUACACAACCCACAAGCUUGCCCUGUUUCAAACUCACAAUCCUAUGGUGAUGACUAUCCACCAGCUUCUGGGCUGCAUGCAGAUAGAUACUCAGCCAGUCACCCUUCACCUCAGGCAGCAGGUCCUGCUCCCUACCAUGAGUAUUCUCAUUCAGCUAACAUGUCUACUCUGGAUCCCAGGCCUCAGUUGUUUAAUCCUCAAGAUUUGCCACCAUCUUUUGGCCAUGAUUAUGCAAAUGAAGGUCCAGGUGGAGCUGGUGUAUUGUAUCCAGAGAAUGCAAGUGGGCUCAGCUGUGGCCAAGGUCCUCGUCGUGUCCUUCUUGAUCCUGAGACUGGCAAAUACUUCUACAUUGAGGUACCAAUGCAACCACUCAGAAAAAUGCUGUUUGAUCCUGAAUUAGGCCAGUAUGUAGAAGUUCUCAUACCACAUCAGGCAAUGUCCCAUUCAGGGCUAUAUCCACCAGCAGCACCGCCCUACUCCUCUUUGCACAGUCCUGGGUUGUAUGCACCACAGUCCUGGCACCUGCCUUAUGCAGUGCCAUCUUACCCAGCAAUCUCAGGUACUGCCCCGCAAGUUCGCCAUCCGGAGCCACCUCCUGUGCCCACCACACUUCACCAGACUUCCUUAAGGUAUGGAAGCCCUGCAAGCCAGAUGCCAAAAAAUGAACCAAAAGGCCUGUCAUCACUGGAUCAAAGCUAUCUAGAGAGCAUGUAUUACAUCCCCACUGGGCUGAAUGCAAGCCCAAAUGCAACCCCUUCAGAAUGCUACCACAAGCCAUCAAGCAUGCCUCCUUCAGGGGGACGAAGAGCAUGA